This 253-nucleotide ribosomal RNA is filed under the name uncultured bacterium. RNAcentral describes it as "partial 16S ribosomal RNA". It matches the Rfam family "Bacterial small subunit ribosomal RNA", at positions 524 to 776 of the family's 1533-position model. The record is from RNAcentral.
UACCGGGGGGGCAAGCGUUGUUCGGAAUUACUGGGCGUAAAGGGCUCGUAGGUGGCCAACUAAGUCGGACGUGAAAUCCCUCGGCUUAACCGGGGAACUGCGUCUGAUACUGGAUGGCUUGAGUUCGGGAGAGGGAUGCGGAAUUCCAGGUGUAGCGGUGAAAUGCGUAGAUAUCUGGAGGAACACCGGUGGCGAAGGCGGCAUCCUGGACCGACACUGACGCUGAGGAGCGAAAGCCAGGGGAGCAAACGGG